Molecule: ribosomal RNA, 352 nt
Filed under: uncultured bacterium
Lineage: Bacteria
Description: partial 16S ribosomal RNA
Rfam family: Bacterial small subunit ribosomal RNA
Source: RNAcentral
CCUACGGGAGGCUGCAGUAGGGAAUCUUCCACAAUGGGCGAAAGCCUGAUGGAGCAACGCCGCGUGGGUGAAGAAGGUCUUCGGAGCGUAAAACCCUGUUGUUAGAGAAGAAAGUGCGUGAGAGUAACUGUUCACGUGUCGACGGUAUCUAACCAGAAAGCCACGGCUAACUACGGGCCAGCAGCCGCGGUAAUACGUAGGUGGCAAGCGUUAUCCGGAUUUAUUGGGCGUACAGGGAACGCAGGCGGUCUUUUAAGUCUGAUGUGAAAGCCUUCGGCUUAACCGGAGUAGUGCAUUGGAAACUGGGAGCCUUGAGUGCAGCAGAGGCGAGUGGAACUCCAUGUGUAGCGGU